This is a long non-coding RNA of Dermacentor andersoni, 570 nucleotides long. RefSeq lists it as uncharacterized. Lineage: Eukaryota; Metazoa; Arthropoda; Arachnida; Ixodida; Ixodidae. The record is from RefSeq and is a predicted model, not a curated record.
GUUGCUUCAGGUACUUAGUACAGGACUGGUUGUGAGCAAAUAGUGGCAUAUUUGUGGUGUCAAAGACAGUGCCAAUUCACAUUGUAUUACAUCAUUUAUAACUCCAAACUUCCAGUCUGUACCAAAGAAAGAAGCCAGCAAUUCGCAGUUCGCUGAGUUUGCUGCUUUAUUUAUAAGCAGGGGCCCUUUAAAAGGACUGACAGCCGAUUUUCAAGCAUUCCCCUUUUCUUGGCGCCAUGGAAAGCCUACUAUUUGAAGCAUCUGUAUCUGCAACAGUUCAUCCAGGAAAUGUCUGGAAAUUUUUAACAUGUUAUUUUUCGAUCUGUGCAGUCUCUUCUACUUACUGUAUACGGAUGCCAGCAACAGUGAUAACUGGUAUUGAUAGCAACAGAAAUGAGCAAUUCGAAACACAUGCAGAUUAGGCGGCGAAAUAGCUGUUAAAUGCUGAGACUGCGGCCUAAAAAACAUCCGUAACAACUUUUUAUUGCUGUAUAUAGAUGUCAUGGACACUUCUAUAUUGGAAAAUUUCCUACUGGUGACAGAAUAAAACAUGGAAACCUUGGCGUCAUA